RNAcentral lists this long non-coding RNA (204 nucleotides) under Elaeis guineensis (African oil palm). RNAcentral describes it as "long non-coding RNA (EGUI_LNC042202)". Lineage: Eukaryota; Viridiplantae; Streptophyta; Magnoliopsida; Arecales; Arecaceae. The record is from RNAcentral.
GCUUCAUUUUCUUCAUUUUUUUCCUUAUCUUCUUCCAUUUGUAAAGGAGGACUUUUCAAAGACAUGUCUUUUAUAUCCUUUUCAAGAGAACCUGUAUCAUCAUUUAGAUCUACUUCAUUUGAUUUAAAAAUAUUAGUUUCAUUAAAAACAACAUGAAUGAAUUCUUCUGUAACUAAUAUUCUUCUAUUAACUACUCUAUAUGCU